CACUUCCGCACUAAGCAGGCAAGGCCAACUACACAAGCAAGAAGGCAUCGCCUGCGGCUUCCAAUCCAAUGACAAGCAAAAGACGAAGAAGUAACUUACUAUACCUUACCUCCUUGUGCCCAUAGCUUGACCUCCGCCUUUUUCUACCUGCACGGAUGCCUUCCCUUCCUUGCAAAGCGAACCUAGUCAAGCAAUGGAAGGAGAAAGGAAAAAGACCUUCCUCGCGCACAGACAGACCAUCUUUAGCGAAGUCCCUCCUUCCCAACCUCUCCUACAGCAUCCAUUUCGUCAAAGAAGGACGGAGCAGGCACACUGACUACUCUGAUUGGGCGUGGACUGGGAAAAAGUAGCAGCUAAAGGAAAGCUAAAAGGUAUUGGCGAAGAAGUAAUGGAGGAUCUGAUAUAGAUUGAAAAGAGGGAAAGCUAAGCUAGCUAACGAAGGGGUUGGGAUUCGCCUCGCCCUAGUACACCAACCAGGAAGAAAGAUUUAGUGCUUUUCACCUUUCCGCCAAACCAGAACGAGAGCCAAUCGGGUCGAUCAGAAUGUCCUUAUUUCACAGCGCUAUAACAUUCUCAAGUUAGAGUCUGACUAUCUCUAUUCUAAGUAGCACCCGAGAAAGCACACGCUAAGCAGAUCUUUACCAAAG
This 647-nucleotide long non-coding RNA is filed under the name Nicotiana benthamiana. RNAcentral's name for it is "long non-coding RNA (NBEN_LNC029298)". Lineage: Eukaryota; Viridiplantae; Streptophyta; Magnoliopsida; Solanales; Solanaceae. The record is from RNAcentral.